Molecule: unclassified non-coding RNA, 407 nt
Filed under: fungal sp.
Lineage: Eukaryota; Fungi
Description: partial internal transcribed spacer region
Rfam family: Eukaryotic small subunit ribosomal RNA (bases 1-46)
Source: RNAcentral
AAGUCGUAACAAGGUUUCCGUAGGUGAACCUGCGGAAGGAUCAUUAACACGUUAUCCACGUAUCUACCUCUUGCGAACUUUUUACUGUUCAGGAGUCGGCAGACCAGCGUAGAUAAUGGAGGUAGAUGUUACUAUGUCCAGUGGCCGACACCCUGGUUCUACCUGCCUAGCUAACCCCGCCAUCCCCUUCGUUUUUUUUUUAAAUGUGGUGUAAGAAAAAAAAGUAGCGUGUUGGGUGUGGGCUUAGGUAUUCUGGUUCAUAUGACUCGAAUCAUAGUAGUUUUUUUAAUCUUAUUAACCCUUUUUUACUUAAUUUGUUGAAUUGUGAUGGUCCCUGGAGGUAACACUUCGGGUGGCUCACGUUAAUAAAACACUAUACAACUCUUAGCAACGGAUAUCUCGGUUCU